This is a non-coding RNA of Pelobates cultripes (western spadefoot toad), 303 nucleotides long. The record is from the annotation of a GenBank genome assembly. NCBI's taxonomy places the organism in Eukaryota, Metazoa, Chordata, Amphibia, Anura, Pelobatidae.
CAUAGUUCUUCCUUCUGUACCAGGGAAGAAAGUGUUGAGUCAGAAACUCCCCAUACUUUGCAGAGGUCAUCUUUACACCUUCGGGGACCCUAAAGGGGCCGACCAGCUCUCUUCCCAUGAUUCCGGCCCAAAACAUGACUCCUCCACCGCCUUGCUGACGUUGCAUCCUUUUUGGGACAGGGUGGCCGUCCACAAACCAUCCACUACUCCAUCCAUCUGGACCAUCCAGGUUUGCAUGGUACUCAUCAGUGAACAGGACUAUUUUAAAAUUAGUCUUCAUGUAUUUUUAUGCCCAAUGAAGCC